UGGACUAAUAGGAAGAACAUCUUUUUUAAUUACAUGAGAAGCAGUUUCAGCAAAUCCAAGAAAACUAUGUGUAAGACUUCAUAUUGUUUAUUCAAAGAGUAUUUGUUCUUGAUCAAAACAUUCUUUAUUACCUACAGUACAAAUAAAUUUGUGCACAGUACACUACUAAUAUAUUCAUUAUGAUUUGACUGAUUGAAAAAUGCUCAUCACCUGCCACAUAAAAAACAAAACAUAAAAAAAAAAUUCUGUGACAUUAAGAACCUGAGUUAUUAGGUAGAAAAUAAAUCCUUUCUUAUUUUCCUUCAAUGUUUUCAGUAUUGGAAAUAAGUUUUUUACUAACUAACUAGAUGAAGAACUCCCAGUUUUGGGUGAUUAAGAAGGGCACUAAUCUUAGUUUUAUUUGUACAUAUUAGCAUCAAGGUUUUACUCAAGCACAGAAAAGAUGGUUUAUUACUGUUAAUUCCCCAAUCUCUCAUGCUGUUCAACUUUGAAUAUGUUGCUGCAUGUAAAGAUUCAACAACUAACAUUUUAGACUCAUCAUCUUUGUCAAUUGGCUUCAGAGAUUACUGUUCCUUUACACAGCAAACAGAUCUUUCAUACUGUUCAACUUUGAAUAUGUUGCAUGUAAAGAUUCAACAACUAACAUUUUAGACUUAUUCCUUGUGGGUUUGUCUUUCUAAAGGAAGAUAAGAUAUAGCUGACAUACAAGUCUCUAACACAUUGAAUUAAUUUAUGGACACAAAAGUACACAUAGUUAUCAAAAUUGAAUGGGUCCAAUUUGCCCAUUUAUAUAAAUAGAAGAAUGAAUCUGUCAAUCCCAA
RNAcentral lists this long non-coding RNA (821 nucleotides) under Musa acuminata (dwarf banana). RNAcentral describes it as "long non-coding RNA (MACU_LNC002168)". The record is from RNAcentral. Lineage: Eukaryota; Viridiplantae; Streptophyta; Magnoliopsida; Zingiberales; Musaceae.